Molecule: non-coding RNA, 35 nt
Organism: Flavobacterium sp. 40-81
Lineage: Bacteria; Pseudomonadati; Bacteroidota; Flavobacteriia; Flavobacteriales; Flavobacteriaceae
Source: Rfam
AAGGUAGCAUCCGAAAAACCUUAAACGAGUAGGAA